UACGUAGGGUGCAAGCGUUGUCCGGAAUUAUUGGGCGUAAAGAGCUCGUAGGCGGUCUGUCACGUCGGCUGUGAAAUCCCGAGGCUCAACCUCGGGUCUGCAGUCGAUACGGGCAAACUAGAGUAUUGCAGGGGAGACUGGAAUUCCUGGUGUAGCGGUGAAAUGCGCAGAUAUCAGGAGGAAACCCGGUGGCGAAGGGGGGUCUCUGGGCAAUAACUGACGGUGAGGAGCGAAAGCGUGGGGAGCGAACAGG
RNAcentral lists this ribosomal RNA (253 nucleotides) under uncultured bacterium. RNAcentral describes it as "partial 16S ribosomal RNA". It matches the Rfam family "Bacterial small subunit ribosomal RNA", at positions 524 to 776 of the family's 1533-position model. The record is from RNAcentral.